This 492-nucleotide ribosomal RNA is filed under the name uncultured bacterium. Its description in RNAcentral is "partial 16S ribosomal RNA". It matches the Rfam family "Bacterial small subunit ribosomal RNA", at positions 899 to 1397 of the family's 1533-position model. The record is from RNAcentral.
ACUCAAAUGAAUUGACGGGGGCCCGCACAAGCAGCGGAGCGUGUGGUUUAAUUCGACGCAACGCGCAGAACCUUACCAGGGCUUGACAUCCUCGGGACCCGCCGGAAAAGGCGGGGUGCCCUUCGGGGAGCCGAGAGACAGGUGCUGCAUGGCUGUCGUCAGCUCGUGUCGUGAGAUGUUGGGUUAAGUCCCGCAACGAGCGCAACCCUCGUGGUUCGUUACCAAGGUGUGUCGAACCAGACUGCCGGGCGCAACCCGGAGGAAGGGGGGGAUGACGUCAAGUCAGCAUGGCCCUUACGCCCUGGGCGACACACACGCUACAAUGGCCGGGACAGCGGGCAGCCAAGCGGUAACGCGGAGCCAAUCCCUGCAAACCCGGUCUCAGUUCGGAUUGGGGGCUGCAACUCGCCCCCAUGAAGGCGGAGUUGCUAGUAACCGCCGGUCAGCCAUACGGCGGUGAAUCUGUUCCCGGGCCUUGUACACACCGCCCGU